GUGACUCAGACGACUUUGCAAGAGCGAGAUUACAAGAAAUCUCUUAGCCGGUUGGAAGAGAUGAAAAGAGCUUUUACGAUGAUAAGCAAAAAUAGCAACAUGAACAAGGGUGAAUUUUGGUGGGAUCUACCGAUCGAUAACAUGGAGAAGGAAGAGCUUGAAAGUUAUAGGGAAUCUCUGGAAGAGUUGAAAAAGAAUGUAAUGACAAGGAUUGAGGGGAUGGCUGCCCAUAAUGCUGCGGGUGAGUCUAGUAUUAUUAACCAGUU
RNAcentral lists this unclassified non-coding RNA (266 nucleotides) under Hevea brasiliensis (rubber tree). Lineage: Eukaryota; Viridiplantae; Streptophyta; Magnoliopsida; Malpighiales; Euphorbiaceae. The record is from RNAcentral.